Molecule: ribosomal RNA, 450 nt
Filed under: uncultured bacterium
Lineage: Bacteria
Description: partial 16S ribosomal RNA
Rfam family: Bacterial small subunit ribosomal RNA
Source: RNAcentral
GUCGAGAAUAAUUCACAAUGGACGAAAGUCUGAUGGUGCAACGCCGCGUGGAGGAUGAAGGUCUUCGGAUUGUAAACUCCUGUCAUCGGGGAGUAAGACCUGGCGGUAAAUAGCCGACAGGGUUGAUAGUACCCGAAGAGGAAGGGACGGCUAACUUCGUGCCAGCAGCCGCGGUAAUACGAAGGUCCCAAGCGUUGUUCGGAAUCACUGGGCGGAAAGGGAGCGUAGGCGGCGUGGUAAGUCAGAUGUGAAAUCCCGGGGCUCAACCCCGGAACUGCAUCCGAUACUGCCAUGCUUGAGGGUUGGAGAGGUAGCUGGAAUUCUCGGUGUAGCAGUGAAAUGCGUGGAUAUCGAGAGGAACACUCGUGGCGAAGGCGAGCUACUGGACAACAUCUGACGCUGAGGCUCGAAGGCCAGGGGAGCAAAAGGGAUUAGAAACCCUUGUAGUCC